Molecule: ribosomal RNA, 253 nt
Filed under: uncultured bacterium
Lineage: Bacteria
Description: partial 16S ribosomal RNA
Rfam family: Bacterial small subunit ribosomal RNA
Source: RNAcentral
UACGUAGGGUGCGAGCGUUAAUCGGAAUUACUGGGCGUAAAGCGUGCGCAGGCGGUCGUGCAAGACAGAUGUGAAAUCCCCGGGCUUAACCUGGGAACUGCAUUUGUGACUGUACGGCUGGAGUGCGGCAGAGGGGGAUGGAAUUCCGCGUGUAGCAGUGAAAUGCGUAGAGAUGUGGAGGAACACCGAUGGCGAAGGCAGCCUCCUGGGCCAGCACUGACGCUCAUGCACGAAAGCGUGGGGAGCGAACAGG